Molecule: long non-coding RNA, 387 nt
Filed under: Rattus norvegicus (Norway rat)
Lineage: Eukaryota; Metazoa; Chordata; Mammalia; Rodentia; Muridae
Description: long non-coding RNA NONRATT030733
Source: RNAcentral
CGGUGUUGCUGGAGGCGUGGCUCCUGUAUCAGCCUCCAACCUGGCGGUCCCUUUUAUGGCUCAUCCUAUCUCUCUCUGACCAGCAGUUUGAUCUGAGACUCACCCAGAAGUUUGGUCUAAGUGAAACUUCAGGGAAGUUCCUGGUGCUGUCAGGGACAGGAGGACCACACGUUCAAGGCCUGCUUGGACUUCAGAGUAAAUUCUAGGUCAGCCUGGGGAACUUGGUGGAAUCCUGUCUCCAAACAAAACAAAAUGUGGGCUUGUGGUGCAGGGUGGACUUCCGGCUACAAGCGCCGAGGCUUCGCGUUCUUUCAUUGGAUGGAAAAGAAAACUUCGUGAACAAAAUAAGCUAAAAAGAUCUGCAUAAACAAUUUUUAUUUUUAAAUU